GUCCACUGAACCUUAUCAUUUAGAGGAAGGAGAAGUCGUAACAAGGUUUCCGUAGGUGAACCUGCGGAAGGAUCAUUGACACACGUCCCUGCAAACCGUUGAACCGUUCCCUUGUCCCCUUGAGGGGCCACACCUGGAGGUGUGGCUGCUCGCGCCAUGGCUCCCCUACUCGGUUACCUUGGGAGGCACCAAGGGGUGGUGUCGGGCGGGGCUCCUUGCCGGUGCCGUCCACGUGCUCGGGUGCGCGUGGGUCGGGCAAGUGUUCCCCUCCUCCCGUGCCUCUCGGGGCUCGGGUGCCAUUUGCAUUGCGUUUCGGGAACCUUAUGUGUUUUGGAUGGUGAGCGACUCUGGGAUUGGGGUGGUCUUCCCGGCCGCCCCGCACCAGAUAGCGAAAUGAUGGAUAGUACCACUCUCAGCAACGGAUAUCUUGGCUCUUGCCACGAUGAAGAACGCAGCGAAAUGCGAUACGUGAUGUGAAUUGCAGAACUCCGUGAAUCAUUGAAUCUUUGAACGCAACUUGCGCCCGGGGCUUGUCCGAGGGCAUGUCUGGCUGAGCGUCUAAUCGUCCCUCUCGCUCGCACUGGCUGCGAAGCGCAAAUUGGCCGUCCAUGGCAAGCACAUGGUCGGCUGGAGUGCAUAGGGAGGACGCCGCACUCUAAAUGCGUCGCGUGACUGGCGGGGUUGGUUCGGGUUAUCGCCUGCUUCUGGCUGCGGCUGGUCCUAGGCGGUGCCCCCCACCUGCCAACAUGUUGCUCGCCGCUAAGGUGUCGGCUGAUUCCCUUGUGUGGCCACUACCCAAGAGACCUCAGAUCAGGCAAGGCUACCCGCUGAGUUUAAGCAUAUCAAUAAGCGGAGGA
This 857-nucleotide ribosomal RNA is filed under the name Isoetes hypsophila. Its description in RNAcentral is "eukaryotic LSU rRNA". The stretch from base 408 to 560 matches the Rfam family "5.8S ribosomal RNA". The record is from RNAcentral. Lineage: Eukaryota; Viridiplantae; Streptophyta; Lycopodiopsida; Isoetales; Isoetaceae.